CAUGGCCGCGGGAUUAGAGUUUGAUCCUGGCUCAGGAUGAACGCUGGCGGCGUGCUUAACACAUGCAAGUCGAACGAUGAUCCCAGCUCGCUGGGGGAUUAGUGGCGAACGGGUGAGUAACACGUGAGUAACGUGCCCUUAACUCUGGGAUAAGCCUGGGAAACUGGGUCUAAUACCGGAUAUGACUCCUCAUUGCAUGGUGGGGGGUGGAAAGCUUUAUUGUGGUUUUGGAUGGACUGGCGGCCUAUCAGCUCGUUGGUGAGGUAAUGGCUCAGAAGGCGACGACGGGUAGCCGGCUGAGAGGGUGACCGGCCACACUGGGACUGAGACACGGCCCAGACUCCUACGGGAGGCAGCAGUGGGGAAUAUUGCACAAUGGGCGAAAGCCUGAUGCAGCGACGCCGCGUGAGGGAUGACGGCCUUCGGGUUGUAAACCUCUUUCAGUAGGGAAGAAGCGAAAGUGACGGUACCUGCAUAAGAAGCGCCGGCUAACUACGUGCCAGCAGCCCGCGGUAAUACGUAGGGCGCAAGCGUUAUCCGGAAUUAUUGGGCGUAAAGAGCUCGUAGGCGGUUUGUCGCGUCUGCCGUGAAAGUCCGGGGCUCAACUCCGGAUCUGCG
Molecule: ribosomal RNA, 618 nt
Filed under: bacterium
Lineage: Bacteria
Description: bacterial SSU rRNA
Rfam family: Bacterial small subunit ribosomal RNA
Source: RNAcentral